AUUGAACGCUGGCGGCAUGCUUUACACAUGCAAGUCGAACGGCAGCGCGGGCUUCGGCCUGGCGGCGAGUGGCGAACGGGUGAGUAAUACAUCGGAACGUGCCCAGUAGUGGGGGAUAGCUCGGCGAAAGCCGGAUUAAUACCGCAUACGACCUGAGGGUGAAAGCGGGGGAUCUUCGGACCUCGCGCUAUUGGGGCGGCCGAUGGCAGAUUCGCUAGUUGGUGGGGUAAAGGCCUACCAAGGCGACGAUCUGUAGCUGGUCUGAGAGGACGACCAGCCACACUGGGACUGAGACACGGCCCAGACUCCUACGGGAGGCAGCAGUGGGGAAUUUUGGACAAUGGGCGAAAGCCUGAUCCAGCAAUGCCGCGUGUGUGAUGAAGGCCUUCGGGUUGUAAAGCACUUUUGGCGGGAACGAAAAGGACUGUGCCAAUACCACGGUUCGAUGACGGUACCCGCAGAAUAAGCACCGGCUAACUACGUG
Molecule: ribosomal RNA, 484 nt
Filed under: uncultured bacterium
Lineage: Bacteria
Description: partial 16S ribosomal RNA
Rfam family: Bacterial small subunit ribosomal RNA
Source: RNAcentral